This is a long non-coding RNA of Bufo bufo (common toad), 171 nucleotides long. RefSeq lists it as uncharacterized. Lineage: Eukaryota; Metazoa; Chordata; Amphibia; Anura; Bufonidae. The transcript is spliced from 3 exons. The record is from RefSeq and is a predicted model, not a curated record.
UAACAGUAGUUAUUACCAAAUAUGUGCCUCCUCACAGUAAUUAUGCCAGAUUAUUUGCCCCCUUCAGGGGAUAUAAAACAAAAACUGUAAAUUCUCACCUGGUUCCUCCGAUGCUCAGAAGCUAGCGCUCCACGGCAGCAGAAGGAAUCUGCAAGACAUGACACUGCUGUG